This 253-nucleotide ribosomal RNA is filed under the name uncultured bacterium. RNAcentral's name for it is "partial 16S ribosomal RNA". It matches the Rfam family "Bacterial small subunit ribosomal RNA", at positions 524 to 776 of the family's 1533-position model. The record is from RNAcentral.
UACGUAGGGUGCGAGCGUUGUCCGGAAUUCUUGGGCGUAAAGCGCACGUAGGCGGCAUCGCAAGUCGGAUGUGAAAUCUUAUGGCUUAACCAUAAAAGUGCAUCCGAAACUGCAGUGCUUGAGUACUUAAGAGGAUCGCGGAAUUCCCGGUGUAGAGGUGAAAUUCGUAGAUAUCGGGAGGAACACCAGUGGCGAAGGCGGCGAUCUGGGAAGAUACUGACGCUGAGGUGCGAAAGCGUGGGGAGCAAACAGG